Molecule: ribosomal RNA, 391 nt
Filed under: Hemidactylus laevis
Lineage: Eukaryota; Metazoa; Chordata; Lepidosauria; Squamata; Gekkonidae
Description: partial small subunit ribosomal RNA
Rfam family: Bacterial small subunit ribosomal RNA
Source: RNAcentral
GCUUAGAAAUAAACCCAGAUGGCACGCCCAACCUGCCAUCCGCCAGAGCACUACAAGUGAAAAACUUAAAACUCAAAGGACUUGACGGCAUUCCACAUCACCCUAGAGGAGCCUGUCCUGUAAUCGAUGACCCACGUUCCACCUCACCUACUUUUGCCCCCCCCAGCCUAUAUACCGCCGCCUAAAGCCCGCCUUACAAAAGCAAGCAUAGCAGACCAACCAGCCCAACACUCCCACGUCAGGUCAAGGUGUAGCUAACAAGUAGGAAGAGAUGGGCUACAUUUUCUUAGCAAAAGAAAACAACCAACAGCACUGUGAAACCUGUGCCACAAGGAGGAUUUAGCAGUAAGCCACGCAAACAUGCCUGACUGAACAACGCCCUGGAAUGAGU